RNAcentral lists this ribosomal RNA (467 nucleotides) under uncultured bacterium. Its description in RNAcentral is "partial 16S ribosomal RNA". It matches the Rfam family "Bacterial small subunit ribosomal RNA", at positions 29 to 507 of the family's 1533-position model. The record is from RNAcentral.
ACGAACGAUGGCGGCGUGCUUAACACAUGCAAGUCGAACGGAAAGGCCCUGCUUUUGUGGGGUGCUCGAGUGGCGAACGGGUGAGUAACACGUGAGUAACCUGCCCUUGACUUUGGGAUAACUUCAGGAAACUGGGGCUAAUACCGGAUAGGAGCUCCUGCUGCAUGGUGGGGGUUGGAAAGUUUCGGCGGUUGGGGAUGGACUCGCGGUUUAUCAGCUUGUUGGUGGGGUAGUGGCUUACCAAGGCUUUGACGGGUAGCCGGCCUGAGAGGGUGACCGGCCACAUUGGGACUGAGAUACGGCCCAGACUCCUACGGGAGGCAGCAGUGGGGAAUAUUGCACAAUGGGCGGAAGCCUGAUGCAGCAACGCCGCGUGCGGGAUGACGGCCUUCGGGUUGUAAACCGCUUUCGCCUGUGACGAAGCGUGAGUGACGGUAAUGGGUAAAGAAGCACCGGCUAACUACGUG